RNAcentral lists this ribosomal RNA (253 nucleotides) under uncultured bacterium. RNAcentral describes it as "partial 16S ribosomal RNA". It matches the Rfam family "Bacterial small subunit ribosomal RNA", at positions 524 to 776 of the family's 1533-position model. The record is from RNAcentral.
UACGGAGGAUCCAAGCGUUAUCCGGAUUCACUGGGUUUAAAGGGUGCGUAGGUGGAAUGACAAGUCAGUGGUGAAAACCUGCAGCUUAACUGUAGAACUGCCAUUGAUACUGUUAUUCUUGAGUACAUUUGAUGUGAGUGGAAUGUGUCGUGUAGCGGUGAAAUGCUUAGAUAUGACACAGAACACCAAUUGCGAAGGCAGCUCACAAAACUGUAACUGACACUGAGGCACGAAAGCGUGGGGAUCAAACAGG